UACGGGGGGGGCAAGCGUUGUUCGGAAUUACUGGGCGUAAAGGGCUCGUAGGCGGCCAACUAAGUCGGACGUGAAAUCCCCAGGCUCAACCUGGGAACUGCGUCCGAUACUGGAUGGCUUGAAUCCGGGAGAGGGAUGCAGAAUUCCAGGUGUAGUGGUGAAAUGCGUAGAUAUGCGGAGGAACACCGAUGGCGAAGGCAAUCCCCUGGGCCUGUACUGACGCUCAUGCACGAAAGCGUGGGGAGCAAACAGG
This 253-nucleotide ribosomal RNA is filed under the name uncultured bacterium. RNAcentral's name for it is "partial 16S ribosomal RNA". It matches the Rfam family "Bacterial small subunit ribosomal RNA", at positions 524 to 776 of the family's 1533-position model. The record is from RNAcentral.